Molecule: ribosomal RNA, 406 nt
Filed under: Leptobrachella minima
Lineage: Eukaryota; Metazoa; Chordata; Amphibia; Anura; Megophryidae
Description: Leptolalax minimus partial 16S ribosomal RNA
Rfam family: Bacterial large subunit ribosomal RNA
Source: RNAcentral
UCUGUACAUUAUAGAAGGUAACGCCUGCCCAGUGACUAUGUGUUAAACGGCCGCGGUAUACUGACCGUGCAAAGGUAGCGUAAUCACUUGUCUUUUAAAUGAAGACUAGUAUGAAUGGCAUCACGAGAACUAAUCUGUCUCCCUCCCCCAAUCAGUGAAACUGAUCUCCCCGUGCAGAAGCGGGGAUAAUAUCAUAAGACGAGAAGACCCUGUGGAGCUUAAAAUCAAAAAUCAACUGCUUCUCCCACCUAUACUAAAGAAACAUUUUCCGCAAGCCUGAUUUAGAUUUUCAGCUGGGGCGGCUGUGGAGAAAAAUAAAUCCUCCACGAAUAUUUAUGCUGAAAGCCACCGCGAUAGGCAUUAAUAAACUUAAUUUUAAUUGACCCAAUUUUUGAUCAACGAACCA